AAAAGUGGUAGCAGAACGUUUUGUUUACCUACGAAGUAAAGCUAAAAAGUUUUAUGGAGGUUUCAAAAGUGCUUAUAUUGGCAUGAGUAAUGAUAAAUAAAGUUUUUGAAUGAACUUUAUCGCCGUAAACCCAAGGUUAAACAGGCACUGUUAAACAAACUGUGUUAAAUCGAUCCCUAAGCCAAAAAUGAAAAUUGUAAGUGAUGGGUAGGUGUUUAAAUACAUCUUUGUUUUAUUUGACUAAUCUAAAUUUAAAUUAUUUUUAAAAUGGAUAAUAUUAAUAGUUUUUUUAAGGUUACAAGAAAUAAAAUAAAACUAAAAAAUCGUUCUAAAACCGCCACAGGUGGGUGGGUGUUAAUGCACUAAGGCGCUUGGAUUAAUUAUAUUGAAGGAACUCGGCAAAAUGACCCUGUAACUUUAUGGAUAAAGGGGGCUUUUUAUAAUGGAAACAUUUUUAAAGCGACACAUAAUUUGAGAGUGGCGACUGUUUAGUAAAAACACAGGUCUCUGCUAAAUCGUAAGAUGAAGUAUAGGGGCUGACGCCUGUCCGGUGCGAUAACGUUAAAAGGAAAAGUUCACGCUUUGAAUUGAUGCGCUCGUAAACGACUGCUGUAACUCUGACGGUACUAAGGUAGCGAAAUGCCUUGCCAACUAAUUAUUGGCUUGCAUGAAUGGCGUAACGACUGCUCUACUGUCUCCAAUAUAAGUCCAAUGAAAUUGAAUUCUUCGUGAAGAUGCGAAGUAAUAAUGGAAAGACGAAAAGACCCUAUGAACCUUUACUACAUGGUUAUAUUGUUUUCAGUGAGAUGAUGUGUAGAAUAGGUGGGAGUAAAUGACGAAAAACCGCCAGGUUUUUUAGAUACUAUCUUUGAAAUACCACCCUUUUUCUUUUCUAAAACUAACUUAAAUAAAGCAAAUCUUUAUUAAGGACAUUUUAUCCUUGGUAGUUUAAUUGGGGCGAUUUUCUCAUAAAAAGUAACUGAGAAGUAUAUAAGGUAAACUCAAAAUAAUUUUUUAUUAUUUUUUGAAUGUAAGGGUAUAAGUUUGCUUAACUGUAAGACUGACUGGUCGAGCAGAAACGAAAGUUGAUCCUAGUGAUCCGGUAACAGUGUGUGGAAUUGUUAUCGCUCAACGGAUAAAAGGUACUCUAGGGAUAACAGGCUAAUGGUUCUUGAGAGCUCUUAUUGACGGAACCGUUUGGCACCUCGAUGUCGACUCGUCUCAUCCUGGGGCUGUAGCAGGUCCCAAGGGUUUGGUUGUUCGCCAAUUAAAGAGGCACGCGAGUUGGGUUUAGAACGUAAAAAACAUUGCGUUAAAAUUUAGUAAUAAAUUUUUAUAGUACUAGCUAAUAUCGGUGAAACCUUAUUUUGUUAAUAUAUAGUAAUCAAAGAUGGUUAUACCGAGGGAAGUCUUAUAAUUUAAUUAUUUUUCGCCCGUAGAGACUUAAAAGCCUUUCAUUUUAUAAAAAGCUUUAGAUGGCAAAUACUUUUUAUUUGUCAUGACACGCUAGCCCCUAGGUUAUUAUAGGGUGAAUAUAUAGUCCGUGCUGUAUAGAAAUAUAAAGAAUAACAUGCGUGAGACAGUUUGG
Molecule: ribosomal RNA, 1588 nt
Filed under: marine metagenome
Description: bacterial LSU rRNA
Rfam family: Bacterial large subunit ribosomal RNA (bases 1-1349)
Source: RNAcentral